This 763-nucleotide ribosomal RNA is filed under the name uncultured Streptococcus sp. Its description in RNAcentral is "bacterial SSU rRNA". It matches the Rfam family "Bacterial small subunit ribosomal RNA", at positions 28 to 776 of the family's 1533-position model. The record is from RNAcentral. Lineage: Bacteria; Bacillati; Bacillota; Bacilli; Lactobacillales; Streptococcaceae.
GACGAACGCUGGCGGCGUGCCUAAUACAUGCAAGUAGAACGCUGAAGGAGGAGCUUGCUCUUCUGGAUGAGUUGCGAACGGGUGAGUAACGCGUAGGUAACCUGCCUGGUAGCGGGGGAUAACUAUUGGAAACGAUAGCUAAUACUGCAUAACAGUAGAUGUUGCAUGAUAUUUGCUUAAAAGGUGCAAUUGCAUCACUACCAGAUGGACCUGCGUUGUAUUAGCUAGUUGGUGGGGUAACGGCUCACCAAGGCGACGAUACAUAGCCGACCUGAGAGGGUGAUCGGCCACACUGGGACUGAGACACGGCCCAGACUCCUACGGGAGGCAGCAGUAGGGAAUCUUCGGCAAUGGACGGAAGUCUGACCGAGCAACGCCGCGUGAGUGAAGAAGGUUUUCGGAUCGUAAAGCUCUGUUGUAAGAGAAGAACGAGUGUGAGAGUGGAAAGUUCACACUGUGACGGUAUCUUACCAGAAAGGGACGGCUAACUACGUGCCAGCAGCCGCGGUAAUACGUAGGUCCCGAGCGUUGUCCGGAUUUAUUGGGCGUAAAGCGAGCGCAGGCGGUUAGAUAAGUCUGAAGUUAAAGGCUGUGGCUUAACCAUAGUACGCUUUGGAAACUGUUUAACUUGAGUGCAAGAGGGGAGAGUGGAAUUCCAUGUGUAGCGGUGAAAUGCGUAGAUAUAUGGAGGAACACCGGUGGCGAAAGCGGCUCUCUGGCUUGUAACUGACGCUGAGGCUCGAAAGCGUGGGGAGCAAACAGG